Molecule: ribosomal RNA, 648 nt
Filed under: uncultured archaeon
Lineage: Archaea
Description: bacterial SSU rRNA
Rfam family: Archaeal small subunit ribosomal RNA
Source: RNAcentral
GCCCUCUUCGGGAGGAUUCGGUGCUGAAGCGAAGGCGAAGAGUGAGCUACCUGGGAAGUAUAGUCGCAAGAUCGAAACUUAAAGGAAUUGGCGGGGAGACAUACAACGAGUGACGCGUGCGGUUCAAUUAGAUUUUACACCGUGAACCUCACCAGGAGCGACAGCAGGAUGAAGGUCAGUCUGAAGGGCUUACCUGACACGCUGAGCGGAGAUGCAUGGCCGACGUCAGCCUGUGCUGUGAAGUGACCUGUUAAAUCAGGUAACAGGCGAGACCCGUGUCGAUAAUUACUACAGAAAUGGGUACCUUAUCGAGACUGCCUUGGUAACAAGGAGGAAGGUGCGGGCUACGUUAGGUGAGUACGUCCCUAAUCCCCUGGGCUACACGCGCGCGGCAAUGGUAUGUUCAAAUGGAUGCGACUCCGAGAGGAGAAGCUAAUCCCCUAACGCAUAUCUCAGUCCAGAUUGAGGGUUGCAACCCACCCUCAUGACGAUGGAAUUCGUAGUAAUCGGAUAUUAGCACUGGCCGGUGAAUAAGUCCCUGUCUCUUGCACACACCGCCCGUCAAACCAACCGAGUUGUGUAGGGAUGAAGCCCUUUUUGGGAAAAAUCUUUUCACGACAAGGUAGGUUAAGUCGUAACAAGGUAGCC